RNAcentral lists this ribosomal RNA (1898 nucleotides) under Escherichia coli. Its description in RNAcentral is "partial 23S ribosomal RNA". It matches the Rfam family "Bacterial large subunit ribosomal RNA", at positions 296 to 2188 of the family's 2925-position model. The record is from RNAcentral. Lineage: Bacteria; Pseudomonadati; Pseudomonadota; Gammaproteobacteria; Enterobacterales; Enterobacteriaceae.
AGCCCAGAGCCUGAAUCAGUGUGUGUGUUAGUGGAAGCGUCUGGAAAGGCGCGCGAUACAGGGUGACAGCCCCGUACACAAAAAUGCACAUGCUGUGAGCUCGAUGAGUAGGGCGGGACACGUGGUAUCCUGUCUGAAUAUGGGGGGACCAUCCUCCAAGGCUAAAUACUCCUGACUGACCGAUAGUGAACCAGUACCGUGAGGGAAAGGCGAAAAGAACCCCGGCGAGGGGAGUGAAAAAGAACCUGAAACCGUGUACGUACAAGCAGUGGGAGCACGCUUAGGCGUGUGACUGCGUACCUUUUGUAUAAUGGGUCAGCGACUUAUAUUCUGUAGCAAGGUUAACCGAAUAGGGGAGCCGAAGGGAAACCGAGUCUUAACUGGGCGUUAAGUUGCAGGGUAUAGACCCGAAACCCGGUGAUCUAGCCAUGGGCAGGUUGAAGGUUGGGUAACACUAACUGGAGGACCGAACCGACUAAUGUUGAAAAAUUAGCGGAUGACUUGUGGCUGGGGGUGAAAGGCCAAUCAAACCGGGAGAUAGCUGGUUCUCCCCGAAAGCUAUUUAGGUAGCGCCUCGUGAAUUCAUCUCCGGGGGUAGAGCACUGUUUCGGCAAGGGGGUCAUCCCGACUUACCAACCCGAUGCAAACUGCGAAUACCGGAGAAUGUUAUCACGGGAGACACACGGCGGGUGCUAACGUCCGUCGUGAAGAGGGAAACAACCCAGACCGCCAGCUAAGGUCCCAAAGUCAUGGUUAAGUGGGAAACGAUGUGGGAAGGCCCAGACAGCCAGGAUGUUGGCUUAGAAGCAGCCAUCAUUUAAAGAAAGCGUAAUAGCUCACUGGUCGAGUCGGCCUGCGCGGAAGAUGUAACGGGGCUAAACCAUGCACCGAAGCUGCGGCAGCGACGCUGAUGCGUUGUUGGGUAGGGGAGCGUUCUGUAAGCCUGCGAAGGUGUGCUGUGAGGCAUGCUGGAGGUAUCAGAAGUGCGAAUGCUGACAUAAGUAACGAUAAAGCGGGUGAAAAGCCCGCUCGCCGGAAGACCAAGGGUUCCUGUCCAACGUUAAUCGGGGCAGGGUGAGUCGACCCCUAAGGCGAGGCCGAAAGGCGUAGUCGAUGGGAAACAGGUUAAUAUUCCUGUACUUGGUGUUACUGCGAAGGGGGGACGGAGAAGGCUAUGUUGGCCGGGCGACGGUUGUCCCGGUUUAAGCGUGUAGGCUGGUUUUCCAGGCAAAUCCGGAAAAUCAAGGCUGAGGCGUGAUGACGAGGCACUACGGUGCUGAAGCAACAAAUGCCCUGCUUCCAGGAAAAGCCUCUAAGCAUCAGGUAACAUCAAAUCGUACCCCAAACCGACACAGGUGGUCAGGUAGAGAAUACCAAGGCGCUUGAGAGAACUCGGGUGAAGGAACUAGGCAAAAUGGUGCCGUAACUUCGGGAGAAGGCACGCUGAUAUGUAGGUGAAGUCCCUCGCGGAUGGAGCUGAAAUCAGUCGAAGAUACCAGCUGGCUGCAACUGUUUAUUAAAAACACAGCACUGUGCAAACACGAAAGUGGACGUAUACGGUGUGACGCCUGCCCGGUGCCGGAAGGUUAAUUGAUGGGGUUAGCGCAAGCGAAGCUCUUGAUCGAAGCCCCGGUAAACGGCGGCCGUAACUAUAACGGUCCUAAGGUAGCGAAAUUCCUUGUCGGGUAAGUUCCGACCUGCACGAAUGGCGUAAUGAUGGCCAGGCUGUCUCCACCCGAGACUCAGUGAAAUUGAACUCGCUGUGAAGAUGCAGUGUACCCGCGGCAAGACGGAAAGACCCCGUGAACCUUUACUAUAGCUUGACACUGAACAUUGAGCCUUGAUGUGUAGGAUAGGUGGGAGGCUUUGAAGUGUGGACGCCAGUCUGCAUGGAGCCG